RNAcentral lists this ribosomal RNA (329 nucleotides) under uncultured eukaryote. RNAcentral describes it as "partial 18S ribosomal RNA". It matches the Rfam family "Eukaryotic small subunit ribosomal RNA", at positions 1470 to 1796 of the family's 1831-position model. The record is from RNAcentral.
CCCUUAGAUGUUCUGGGCUGCACACGUGCUACACUGGCAGGUUCAGCGAGCUUCAUGCCCUGAUCUGAAAGGAAUGGGAAAUCUUUUCAAAACCUGCCGUGCUUGGGAUAGAUGUUUGCAAUUAUUCAUCUUCAACGAGGAUUGCCUUGUAAGCGCACGUCAUCAGCGUGCAUUGAAUACGACCCUGUAUUCUGUACACACCGCCCGUCGCUCCUACCGAUUGGGUGUGCUGGUGAAAUGUUCGGAUCGGCCGUUUGUCGCGGUUUCCGCGUCAUGUGGCUGAGAAGUUCAUUAAACCCUCCCACCUAGAGGAAGGAGAAGUCGUAACA